Molecule: ribosomal RNA, 465 nt
Filed under: uncultured bacterium
Lineage: Bacteria
Description: partial 16S ribosomal RNA
Rfam family: Bacterial small subunit ribosomal RNA
Source: RNAcentral
GACGAACGCUGGCGGCGUGCUUAACACAUGCAAGUCGAACGGAAAGGCCCCUUUGGGGGUCCUCGAGUGGCGAACGGGUGAGUAACACGUGAGUAACCUGCCCUUGACUUCGGGAUAACUUCAGGAAACUGGGGCUAAUACCGGAUAGGAAUCCUUGCUGCAUGGUGGGGGUUGGAAAGCUUCGGCGGUUUUGGAUGGACUCGCGGCUUAUCAGCUUGUUGGUGGGGUAGUGGCUUACCAAGGCUUUGACGGGUAGCCGGCCUGAGAGGGCGACCGGCGACAUUGGGACUGAGAUGCGGCCCAGGCUCCUACGGGAGGGAGCAGUGGGGAAUAUUGCACGAUGGGCGGAGGCCUGAUGCAGCAGCGCCGCGGGCGGGAAGACGGUCUUCGGGUUGUAAACCGCUUUCAGCAGGGGCGAAGCUUGUGGUGACGGUACCUGCAGAAGAAGCACCGGCUAACUACGUG